GAUGAACGCUAGCUACAGGCUUAACACAUGCCAGUCGAGGGGAAACGGCAUCGAAAGCUUGCUUUUGAUGGGCGUCGACCGGCGCACGGGUGAGUAACGCGUAUCCAACCUGCCCAUCACUUGGGAAUAACCUUGCGAAAGUAAGACUAAUGCCCAAUGACAUCCCACGAAGGCAUCCGAAUGGGACUAAAGAUUUAUCGGUGAUGGAUGGGGAUGCGUCUGAUUAGCUUGUUGGCGGGGUGACGGCCCACCAAGGCAACGAUCAGUAGGGGUUCUGAGAGGAAGGUCCCCCACAUUGGAACUGAGACACGGUCCAAACUCCUACGGGAGGCAGCAGUGAGGAAUAUUGGUCUAUGGGCGAGAGCCUGAACCAGCCAAGUAGCGUGCAGGAAGGCGGCCCUAUGGGUUGUAAACUGCUUUUAUAAGGGAAUAAAGUGGGUCACGUGUGACUUUUUGCAUGUACCUUAUGAAUAAGGACCGGCUAAUUCCGUG
Molecule: ribosomal RNA, 492 nt
Filed under: uncultured bacterium
Lineage: Bacteria
Description: partial 16S ribosomal RNA
Rfam family: Bacterial small subunit ribosomal RNA
Source: RNAcentral